GGGAAGUCAGCAAAUGCCAUUGAAGCUGACUCUUAAUCAGCGGGUCGCAGGUUCGAGCCCUGCACGGCCCACCA
This 74-nucleotide transfer RNA is filed under the name Gammaproteobacteria bacterium. RNAcentral's name for it is "tRNA-Ser". It matches the Rfam family "tRNA". From Rfam's summary of the family: Transfer RNA (tRNA) molecules are approximately 80 nucleotides in length. Their secondary structure includes four short double-helical elements and three loops (D, anti-codon, and T loops). The record is from RNAcentral. Lineage: Bacteria; Pseudomonadati; Pseudomonadota; Gammaproteobacteria. RNAcentral also lists the same sequence under 1 other name.